GCCCCUGACCGUGCGGCCCGCGGAGAAGCUCUGUCCGUGCAGGGAGCAGCUCCGGACCCGUCCCCAGGGCGAGGACUGGCCGCAGACGCGCAGAGACGAUGCGGUGGUGGCUCCAUUUUGCUUUCAUCGCAGCAGCGUCCAAAGGGGCCGAGGCGCAGGGGCGGCUGGUGGAGUCCGGCGGCGGGGCUGCGACCACCGGCGGCUCCAGGCGGCUCUCCUGCACGGGCUCCGGACUCACUUUCAGCAGCUACACCAUGUUCUGGUACCGGCAGCGCCCCGGGAAGGGGCUGGAAUGGGUCUCCUGGAUCAGCGGCACUGGUGGGAGCAAAGAUUACACUAACUCCGUGAAAGGGCGAUUCACCAUCUCCAGGGACAACGCCAAGAGCCAGCUGUAUCUGCAAAUGAGCCGCCUGGGACCCGAGGACACCGCCCGGUAUCACUGCGCUGCUAGAGACACGGCUGGAAAGAAAAUGCCCAGUUCCGACUUGAAUUACACCAAGGACCCAAUGGGAGCGCUCACUGGUCACUGCGGGCAGAACUGGCAACCCCGGAUCGGUGAUAACGAGCCUGAUUAAAAACAGAAGCGCCUCUACACCAGAGAUUCGUUUCUGCGGCCGGGAAAUUAUCCCUGGAUUUCCACACUGAUCCUCUUCAGGGUGCCCAAUUGCAGGUCCAGCUGGUGGAGUCUGGGGGAGGCCUGAAGAUGGCAGGAGAGUCUAUCAACAACUCGUGCAAAGCCUCCGGGUUCAGAUUUGGUGACUAUGCGAUGCUGUGGUACCGACGGGCUCCCGGGGGAAGACCAGAGUGGGUCUCUUAUAUUAACUGGGUUGGCUCUGACACGGAUUAGGCGGACUCAGCAGAAGGGCGAUUCACCAUCUCCAGGAACAACCCCAGCAAUUUGCUACACUUGCAAGUGAAGAGACUGAGAGUUGAGGACAGCGCCCUGUAUCACUGUGCGACACACAAUGAGGGGAAGCUGGUCUGAGCUCAGUCAAAAACCUCUCGUUCCUGUCACAGCCUCCCUGAGGAAGCACGUCACACCUCAAAGUUCAAUCACAUGGAUUUUAACCAAGUAUAAAAUGUCCUCAACUCUUUAGUCAUCACGUAGGAAAGUAUAAUUUUUGGAGCCCGGUGAAGGCUGCAAAGACACGCCAAGGCUGAGUUACAUUAGGAGAGCUACAGCCUCUAUCCCGGUCUCUGGCACACACCUCCCAACGUCCGCAACAAAUGGAGCAGGGGGGCUGCAGACAGCACCAGUCCCCUUCUUUGCACAGCCCCGCCUUACUCCCCUGCGGCUCCUUCUUGGGCACUGACUGCGGCAGAAGUCCUGAGGAAAAAAACAGUGUGUGAAGUCUUGUGUCAGUCCCGACCAGGGGGCAGAGUUAAGAUUACAUGGGCAACCUGAGUUCUGGCAUCUCCUAUCGUUCGAGGGCUUGACUUUGCCACCUUAACAUUCUUUUAAAAUAAUUUUUAAUGCCAUUUCCUUCCUGUACAGAAAAAUGGAAAAACAUAAAAAACACCCUUUCAGUCUAUAGAACCACAUUGACCUUCCCCCAGCUGAGUCAUCAGCAGAAUUGGCAUUUUCAGAGGUGCGCACUCCUUGUCUUAGAUUCGCAUGCCUCGACCUGGGUUACCAGUGUGCACCUGCUGUCCCGAGCCCUGCCAGUAGGGUACAGCACUUCCCCCCGACCUGAAUUGUACUGUGCGCCUUCUACCCUAGUACAUACCACUAGAGAGCAGCACUUGUUCUCUUUGGCGCGCUCCAGUCUGCGUGGGACCUUCAUAGGCUGCUGGAAUAUCGGACACUGCCCCCUUCAUUGCCCCCUGGUGGUGGAACAUAGGGCUCAGCACUGGGCCGGAGAUACAUUAUUAGGGAAAGAUGCUUUAGGGACCCUCCCCCGCACCCCUUUCCCUGCUAGGAGAUCUCAAGGUUGACAGCAUUUGGGGACAUGAUGAUAUUGCAAAGGGGGUCUUGGAAUACCCUCCUCCCUCUCUUCUUGUCAGCUGGAAUUGACACUCGCCUAUCAGGUUACAGGAGAUGUAGACUGCGCAGCUGGGUUUCCUGUGCCAAACCAAACAUCACAUUCACAUGUCCCUGACCUUGGAGUUCCCAGAGAGCAACACCGUAAUGCUCUGUAUGUCUGCAAUUACCAUCUAACUCCGUCCUCCAAAUUCCCAUUAUCCCUCCAAGUAACCAAAAACUGUGACAGCCUGAUUGAAUACUCAGGCCUGGGAAUUAUUUGCUUCUUAUGGAAAAAGAGGAAACACUCAUUGCCCCCCCCCCCCGCCCGCCGUUGGUAAAAGCGGUGCGAUCAUGUUGUGGGUGACUCUUAAAGGGAUGAUGUCACUACCCUUCUGAAGUGUUGGUCACUCAGGCCUGGACCUUAGUUGUCUCUGGUGGGAAAGGAGGGAGCAAAAUAAUUUUAUUUACUCGUUCUUUCAUUUAUUUAAUUGGUAAAUGGGAGUGGUGCAAUUUCUGACAGAGCGCACCUACAAUGUGAAUAACAGGACUGGUCUUCAGUUGUCUCCUGCCGGGGAGCGUGUGGAAAUCACCCCGGUAGUUCCCCCAAUAGGUGCCCUCUCUAAUGUCUGGACACCCGGCCGCCGGCGAGAACUGACAAUCCUCUCUUAACGCACAGGAUAUGUACAGGGAGGCAGUUGCAUUUCCCGGGUCACACCCGCCUUGUCCCUCAGCCUGCAGGAGAGCGAAGCUGCAUCCGCUGUGACACCGCAGUUAAGGGUUAAUCCUUCCCACCGCUAGGCCCUUAAGGGACAGUGAGAGUCGCCCUAACGUUAAGGCAGGUGGCUGUUAAAGAGCGAGCUAGUCUCUGUCUGAGCGAGAUACAGUGAGAGUGCAAGGCUGCGUGUGUUACAGGAAUGGCCGCGGGAGAGCGAGCGCGCUGCUUUGCAGAUUGUGAACGCCUCGCUCCCUGUGCCAGGGAGACAGCGUUUGACGCCAGGCGUCGCACAGUGUUUGCAGCCUCCUCUGGCUCUAGGUCUCAGGUUUCAGCAGAAGCUGCGGAGGGUUUCAGAGACUCUCC
Caretta caretta (loggerhead turtle) is the source of this 3041-nucleotide non-coding RNA. NCBI's taxonomy places the organism in Eukaryota, Metazoa, Chordata, Testudines, Cheloniidae. The record is from the annotation of a RefSeq genome assembly.